RNAcentral lists this transfer RNA (76 nucleotides) under Candidatus Altimarinota bacterium. Its description in RNAcentral is "tRNA-Lys". It matches the Rfam family "tRNA". From Rfam's summary of the family: Transfer RNA (tRNA) molecules are approximately 80 nucleotides in length. Their secondary structure includes four short double-helical elements and three loops (D, anti-codon, and T loops). Lineage: Bacteria; Candidatus Altimarinota. The record is from RNAcentral.
GGACUUGUAGCUCAGUAGGUAGAGCAACGCCCUUUUAAGGCGAUGGUCCCCGGUUCGAGCCCGGGCAAGUCCACCA